CAACAGAUGUUAGCUCAGGUGCCCAGCUUUAAAAAAAAAAAGUUCCUUUUUUCAGCCAAAUGGGAAGAUUUGCAAAAGCCAUUUGGGGGCCUUUGAAUGCCAUCCCAGAUGGAGACAAGCCCCAAGAUUCCAAACAGCCUAGACCCUGCCCACAUUCUGCUCUGUUACACCAGGACGACAACAGAGGGGCGUCGCUGGUGCGGCCCCUCUGCACCAGGACCUGAGGAGCCGGCUCCCCAGAAGCCCGUGGAUUAGGAAGGUCUCCUGGGGCUGCUUCAGGAGCUGGCGGGUAACAACUCCCUUUUGUUUUGCUGUCUAGCAUGUGACCAGAAUGCUGCCAGCUAAUUUUAACCCCACUGAAGAACUGGAAAAAAACAAAACGCAACAAAAAAAAAACCUACCUUGCAUCUGGAGAGAGAACCGCUGUGGGCUGGAUAAAAGCUUUUUCAGCCUGCAUUCCUUCCUGUUUCAGUUUCCAAACUUGCAUUAUCGGUAACCUGAAAAAUGAUGUUUCACCAAAUUCCUGGAUAUUGCACAAGAGGACAAUGAGUCUAUUUCGGGUGCUAUGAGUGUGUCUGGCACAGACCCUGGGAGCCAUUGUUUUCAGGAGGGAGAAUGCUUUGGGGUUUCCUGGUGCUUUCCUUCUAGGGUCUCAAAGCCCCCAAAGCAUCAGGAAUUAAUGGAGGACGUCGUGGAGUCCCUCACCUUGGAUACUGGCUUCUCAAAGCAUUCCUGUGGCGGUUAAUUGUUGCUUCUGGCUGGGUGGCUGGUGAUGCUGGUGACAAGGUGCAGAAUCUCAAGAGCCAGGAAAUUUAGAGGCUUGGAUCAGAUAGUGUGUAGCUAGGCAGCUGCUGCCAGCUAUGCUAAAACCAGGUAGUGAGGUGGGCUGUCAUUAACCUGAGGGUCUACAAGGCAGUCCCAGCAGAUCAGCUCACGGCGAAGAGACUGAGGGGAAAGGCCCCAGUUCAUGCUGCAGCCCUCCCGGCAACCAGGAGGGCUUGGUGGCAGUUGUUCUGACAGCUGCUGAGGGCUUCAGCUGCCGAAAAAGCCAUUUGCUCAGGCCUACCCUGUCUGGCCAACUUCUACGUAUUUAAAGGCUCCUCCUUGGUCUCUCAGGCCCCCCCUCUCCACCUGAGUCCUCAGGCAAAGACGCGUCUUUGGAAACACCGGCAACCGCCUGGGAGACCUUCGCCCCGUCGUCUGCCUGUCCACUGCUGCUGUAACCUGCCCACAGUCAUCAAGAUCAGUUAGCAAAUUCCCAAAUUAAGGUUCUGUUGACUUUGUUGUUCCAAAGGCUUGUUUUGAGCAGGAUGUUGUGCUUUAAUUAAAAAGAUGAGAGCUCAUGAGUAAGUAAAACUAUUUCUGAAUCUUCGCAA
Non-coding RNA from Equus caballus (horse), 1376 nucleotides. The record is from RefSeq and is a predicted model, not a curated record. NCBI's taxonomy places the organism in Eukaryota, Metazoa, Chordata, Mammalia, Perissodactyla, Equidae.